This 72-nucleotide transfer RNA is filed under the name Microcaldota archaeon. RNAcentral's name for it is "tRNA-Ala". It matches the Rfam family "tRNA". Rfam says of the family: Transfer RNA (tRNA) molecules are approximately 80 nucleotides in length. Their secondary structure includes four short double-helical elements and three loops (D, anti-codon, and T loops). Lineage: Archaea; Nanobdellati; Microcaldota. The record is from RNAcentral.
GGGCUUGUAGCUCAACGGCAGAGCGUCCGCUUUGCAUGCGGAAGGUUUCGGGUUCGAAUCCCGACAAGUCCA